This is a non-coding RNA of Octodon degus (degu), 510 nucleotides long. The record is from the annotation of a RefSeq genome assembly. Lineage: Eukaryota; Metazoa; Chordata; Mammalia; Rodentia; Octodontidae.
AUGCGGUUCUCCCGGCUGAAGGCUGGAGGUCCAAGAUUGAUCCAUUUGGGAGGAGUCAUGGUGACCUUCAUGCUCGCGUUCUUGUGGCUGCAGCUGGACCGCGGCCGAGGAGAGCAGGUGGAGCAGCACCCUUCCACCCUGCGCGUCCGGGAGGGAGACAGCUGUGUUCUCAACUGUACUUAUUCAGACAGCGGAUCAUCCUACUUCCCUUGGUACAGGCAAGAAGCCGGCCAGGGUCCCCAGCUCGUCAUUGACAUUCGCUCUAAUGUGGCGAGAAACCAAAAGCACAGACUCCUCGUUUCCAUCAACAAGGCCGCCAGGCUCGUCUCCCUGCGCAUCUCAGCCGCCCAGCCCAGAGACUCAGCCGUGUACUUCUGUGCAGCUGGCGCACAGUGCUUCCUGGGCCCCGCGGGCUGUGCAGAAACCUGCCGUGCUGAGUCCUCCCUGUCCUUUGCACAGACUGUACAGUACGUGCCGUGUUGGUUUGUGACAGCUACCACAGAGACGUGA